UAUCUUUCAGCCGAAGGGAAGGUUAUACAGCUUUACUUUCAUUAUAAGUAGCUAAUAUCAGUUCGAUUCUGAUGAAGAUAA
This 81-nucleotide transfer RNA is filed under the name Sparassis crispa. RNAcentral's name for it is "tRNA-Asn". The record is from RNAcentral. Lineage: Eukaryota; Fungi; Basidiomycota; Agaricomycetes; Polyporales; Sparassidaceae.